This 476-nucleotide ribosomal RNA is filed under the name Neisseria animaloris. RNAcentral describes it as "bacterial SSU rRNA". It matches the Rfam family "Bacterial small subunit ribosomal RNA", at positions 9 to 474 of the family's 1533-position model. Lineage: Bacteria; Pseudomonadati; Pseudomonadota; Betaproteobacteria; Neisseriales; Neisseriaceae. The record is from RNAcentral.
GAGUUUGAUUAUGGCUCAGAUUGAACGCUGGCGGCAUGCUUUACACAUGCAAGUCGAAUGGCAGCACGGAAGAGCUUGCUCUUUUGGUGGCGAGUGGCGAACGGGUGAGUAACGCAUCGGAACGUACCGAGUAGUGGGGGAUAACUGUCCGAAAGGAUGGCUAAUACCGCAUAUUCUCUGAGGAGGAAAGCAGGGGACCUUCGGGCCUUGCGCUAUUUGAGCGGCCGAUGUCUGAUUAGCUAGUUGGUGGGGUAAAGGCCUACCAAGGCGACGAUCAGUAGCGGGUCUGAGAGGAUGAUCCGCCACACUGGGACUGAGACACGGCCCAGACUCCUACGGGAGGCAGCAGUGGGGAAUUUUGGACAAUGGGGGGAACCCUGAUCCAGCCAUGCCGCGUGUCUGAAGGAGGCCUUCGGGUUGUAAAGGACUUUUGUCAGGGAAGAAAAGCUUGAGGUUAAUACCCUUGAGUGAUGACG